UGCCUAAGCAGGGUCCCAGUCCUACGAAGACAUGAGAGGGAUCCUGUAUGCAGCUCCUCAGCUCCAAUCAAUUCGGUCUGGUCCCAGUCAUGAGGAAGAUGCAGACUCUUAUGAAAACAUGGAUAAAUCUGACGACCCAGAGCCAGCAUGGGCAGGAGAGGGCCACAUGGGGACUUGGGGUGCCACGUGACUCCCAGGUGACUAGGUGAGCUGGACACUGCCCCUCAGAGAGGGGAGGAAGAAGGAGAUAAACAAGGAUGAUGAUGCAGCACUGGCUCCUGGGGAGAGGAAGGGGACCCGUUUCCUGGGUCCAGUGAAUAGGGCCUAGACUUCUUCCCAUAUUUGUUUGUUUAUUGGUUUGUUCUUUUACGUAGCCUGGACUUCCUUAGGUCCCGAGAACCCCAUCUUACUCUGAAAUCUGGAGAUCCCAAGAAGAUGGUGUCAGUCAGUGAAAUAACCUUGUUUAGGAUGUGUGUGCGCACACACACACCACACACACUCAUAUGCAUGUACAAGCAAAGCUUCCUUUUGACUCUUUUUGCUUUCCCCAAAUAAACUCAACAAGCCACUCAAAUACUCUGAAGCAUGCCCUUGUGUGGGAGAAGAAGGAAAGAUGAGGCUGAAUCCAGCUCUGAAUCACCCAGAGGAAGGAGAGCUGGUCUGAAUACAUCCUGGCCCUAGCAUGAUAUUUAGCCACUAACAUCCAAUGAUGCAAAUAUGUUCAGCCAUUAUUCCAUGGUGUCCCACAAGGGACAGACAGUGAUGGGAUUGGCACCCCUGCACAAACUGGGAAACCCUGUCUGCCCUUCUUCCCUUAACCCUGGCUGCUCUGGGCUAGCAGGUCAGUACCCCUCAUCUCUGAGUUUCCGGCAACCCACCUGAGUGCCCGCCCAGGGUUUCAGCUUCUGACCAUAUGUGGACACCACCCCAGCUCUGAACUUACAUAUCAUCACUCCUUGUCUAAGACCUAUAAAACCCCCUUACCUUAGCCCAGGUGUGCCAUUUCCCUGCUCCCUCCCCUGUCCUUGGGAUCUGUGAACGUACUCAAGAGCUGCUCUCAAUAAAUCUGCCUCUAUAUGUCUU
RNAcentral lists this long non-coding RNA (1083 nucleotides) under Rattus norvegicus (Norway rat). RNAcentral's name for it is "long non-coding RNA NONRATT003156". Lineage: Eukaryota; Metazoa; Chordata; Mammalia; Rodentia; Muridae. The record is from RNAcentral.